RNAcentral lists this transfer RNA (71 nucleotides) under Loxodonta africana (African savanna elephant). It matches the Rfam family "tRNA". From Rfam's summary of the family: Transfer RNA (tRNA) molecules are approximately 80 nucleotides in length. Lineage: Eukaryota; Metazoa; Chordata; Mammalia; Proboscidea; Elephantidae. The record is from Rfam by way of RNAcentral.
GUAUUGGUGGUUCAGUAAUAGCAUUCUCGCCUUCCAUGCGGGAGACCUGGGUUCAAUUCCCGGUCAGUGCA